RNAcentral lists this ribosomal RNA (253 nucleotides) under uncultured bacterium. Its description in RNAcentral is "partial 16S ribosomal RNA". It matches the Rfam family "Bacterial small subunit ribosomal RNA", at positions 524 to 776 of the family's 1533-position model. The record is from RNAcentral.
UACGGAGGGGGCUAGCGUUGUUCGGAAUUACUGGGCGUAAAGCGCACGUAGGCGGAUUGCUAAGUCAGGGGUGAAAUCCUGGAGCUCAACUCCAGAACUGCCUUUGAUACUGGCGAUCUCGAGUCCGGGAGAGGUGAGUGGAACUGCGAGUGUAGAGGUGAAAUUCGUAGAUAUUCGGAAGAACACCAGUGGCGAAGGCGGCUCACUGGCCCGGUACUGACGCUGAGGUGCGAAAGCGUGGGGAGCAAACAGG